GCCAGCAGCCAUAUCACCCUGCAACUCACAACUGGCAACCCACUGAAACUAAGCAGGUAUGAGCCUGGUCAGUACUUGGAUGGGAGACCUCUUGGGAAAAACUAAGGUUGCUGCUGGAA
This is a ribosomal RNA of Lepisosteus oculatus (spotted gar), 119 nucleotides long. The record is from Ensembl. Lineage: Eukaryota; Metazoa; Chordata; Actinopteri; Semionotiformes; Lepisosteidae.